RNAcentral lists this ribosomal RNA (406 nucleotides) under Halicephalobus sp. LD7. RNAcentral's name for it is "bacterial SSU rRNA". It matches the Rfam family "Eukaryotic small subunit ribosomal RNA", at positions 151 to 558 of the family's 1831-position model. The record is from RNAcentral. Lineage: Eukaryota; Metazoa; Nematoda; Chromadorea; Rhabditida; Panagrolaimidae. RNAcentral also lists the same sequence under 1 other name.
GGUAAAUCUGGAGCUAAUACAUGCAAUAAUGACUAUAUAGUUAUGCUAUAUAGUUGCAGUUAUUAGAUUAAAACCAAUGGGCUCUGCCCAUAUAUGUUAACUCUAGAUAAUGCGUUACCAUACAGAUUUAUUUCUGAUGGAAUGCCGUAUUUGUAUCUGCCCUAUCAACUAUAUAACCGUGUAUUGAACGGUUAUGGUGUUGCCGGGUAACGGAGAAUUAGGGUUCGUCUCCGGAGAGAAUGCCUUAAAAACGGCUUUCACAUCCAAGGAAGGCAGCAGGCGCGAAAAUUACCCACUCUCAGUGCGAGGAGGUAGUGACGUGAAAUGACAAGUUCCAUUCUUUAUAGGAUGGAACAUUGGAAUGGUUUAAUUUUAAAUCCAUUAAAGAUUAUCAAUGAGAGGGCAA